GCGCGGCGUUCGACGCGGCGGUCGAGCGCGCGCCGACCGCGCGCGCGGCGGUGCUCGACGCCGCGUGCGCGGGUGACGCCGCGCUGCGCGC
Molecule: transfer RNA, 91 nt
Filed under: Gemmatimonadetes bacterium T265
Lineage: Bacteria; Pseudomonadati; Gemmatimonadota
Description: tRNA-Arg
Source: RNAcentral